Molecule: ribosomal RNA, 216 nt
Filed under: Glomeromycotina sp.
Lineage: Eukaryota; Fungi; Glomeromycota
Description: partial small subunit ribosomal RNA
Rfam family: Eukaryotic small subunit ribosomal RNA (bases 40-216)
Source: RNAcentral
GGGUCAGUAGGUUGGUCGUGCCACCGGUACGUACUGGUCUCACUGAUUCCUUCUUCCUGAAGAACCGUAAUGCCAUUAAUUUGGUGUUGCGGGGAAACAGGACUGUUACUUUGAAAAAAUUAGAGUGUUUAAAGCAAGCUAACGCUUGAAUACAUUAGCAUGGAAUAAUGAAAUAGGGCGAUCGAUCCUAUUUUGUUGGUUUCUAGGAUUGACGUA